RNAcentral lists this ribosomal RNA (861 nucleotides) under Escherichia coli. RNAcentral describes it as "bacterial SSU rRNA". It matches the Rfam family "Bacterial small subunit ribosomal RNA", at positions 39 to 894 of the family's 1533-position model. The record is from RNAcentral. Lineage: Bacteria; Pseudomonadati; Pseudomonadota; Gammaproteobacteria; Enterobacterales; Enterobacteriaceae.
GGGGCCAGCUACACAUGCAGUCGAACGGUAACAGGAAGCAGCUUGCUUCUUUGCUGACGAGUGGCGGACGGGUGAGUAAUGUCUGGGAAACUGCCUGAUGGAGGGGGAUAACUACUGGAAACGGUAGCUAAUACCGCAUAACGUCGCAGACCAAAGAGGGGGACCUUCGGGCCUCUUGCCAUCGGAUGUGCCCAGAUGGGAUUAGCUAGUAGGUGGGGUAACGGCUCACCUAGGCGACGAUCCCUAGCUGGUCUGAGAGGAUGACCAGCCACACUGGAACUGAGACACGGUCCAGACUCCUACGGGAGGCAGCAGUGGGGAAUAUUGCACAAUGGGCGCAAGCCUGAUGCAGCCAUGCCGCGUGUAUGAAGAAGGCCUUCGGGUUGUAAAGUACUUUCAGCGGGGAGGAAGGGAGUAAAGUUAAUACCUUUGCUCAUUGACGUUACCCGCAGAAGAAGCACCGGCUAACUCCGUGCCAGCAGCCGCGGUAAUACGGAGGGUGCAAGCGUUAAUCGGAAUUACUGGGCGUAAAGCGCACGCAGGCGGUUUGUUAAGUCAGAUGUGAAAUCCCCGGGCUCAACCUGGGAACUGCAUCUGAUACUGGCAAGCUUGAGUCUCGUAGAGGGGGGUAGAAUUCCAGGUGUAGCGGUGAAAUGCGUAGAGAUCUGGAGGAAUACCGGUGGCGAAAGCGGCCCCCUGGACGAAGACUGACUGCUCAGUGCGAAGUCGUGGGGAGCAAAACAUGAUUAGAUACUCUGGUUCUCCACGGCGGUGAAACCAUCUCGACUGAGUUGUGCCCUUGAGGCUGGCUUCCGGACCUAACGCGUAAGUCGACCGCCCGUGGGAGUACGGGCGGAGGGU